UGGCUCAGAUCUAACGCUGGCGGCGUGCCUAAUACAUGCAAGUCGCACGAGAAAGUAAAGCUUGCUUUACGAGUAAAGUGGCGCACGGGUGAGUAAUGCAUAAGUAAUCUACCUUCGAAACUGGGACAACCUUCCGAAAGGGGGGCUAAUACCGGAUAAGACCACGAUAUACAUUAUAGUGGUAAAAGAUGACCUCUGCUUGCAAGUUAUCAUUUGAAGAUGAGCUUAUGUCCUAUCAGCUUGUUGGUGGGGUAAAGGCCUACCAAGGCUAUGACGGGUACCUGGUCUGAGAGGAUGACCAGGCACACUGGAACUGAGACACGGUCCAGACUCCUACGGGAGGCAGCAGUAGGGAAUUUUGCGCAAUGGGAGAAAUCCUGACGCAGCGACGCCGCGUGAGUGAUGAAGGCUUUCGGGCUGUAAAACUCUGUUUAGUGGGAAGAAGGGUUUAAGGCUAAUAUCCUUAAGCAUUGACGGUACCACUAGAGUAAGCACCGGCUAACUCCGUGCCAGCAGCCGCGGUAAUACGGAGGGUGCAAGCGUUGAUCGGAAUUACUGGGCGUAAAGCGAGAGCAGGUGGUUUAAUAAGUCAGAUGUGAAAUCUCUAGGCUUAACCUAGAAACUGCAUCUGAUACUAUUAAACUAGAGUGUAAGAGAGGGUGAUGGAAUUCCCAGUGUAGGGGUAAAAUCCGUAGAUAUUGGGAGGAACACCGGAGGCGAAGGCGAUCACCUGGCUUACAACUGACACUCAUCCUCGAGAGCAUGGGUAGCAAACAGGAUUAGAUACCCUGGUAGUCUAUGCUGUAAACGAUGGACACUAGAUGUUGUGGGAUUUGAUCCCUGCAGUAUCGUAGUUAACGCGUUAAGUGUCCCGCCUGGGGAAUACGGUCGCAAGAUUAAAACUCAAAGAAAUUGACGGGGGCCCGCACAAGCGGUGGAGCAUGUGGUUCAAUUCGAGGCAACGCGAAAAACCUUACCUGGGCUUGACAUCCUGCUUUAAAUCAUAGAGAUAUGGUCUAGUCUUCGGACAAGGCAGGACAGGUGCUGCAUGGCUGUCGUCAGCUCGUGUCGUGAGAUGUUGGGUUAAGUCCUGCAACGAGCGCAACCCUUAUCAUUAGUUGCCAUCAUUAAGUUGGGUACUCUAAUGAGACUGCCGGUGUUAAACCGGAGGAAGGUGGGGAUGACGUCAAGUCAUCACGGCCCUUAUGUCCAGGGCUACACACGUGCUACAAUGGUCGGUACAAAGAGCUGCAAACCCGCAAGGGGGAGCUAAUCUCAAAAAGCCGAUCUCAGUUCGGAUCGGAGUCUGCAAUUUGACUUCGUGAAGCUGGAAUCGCUAGUAAUCGCGAAUCAGCAUGUCGCGGUGAUACGUUCCCGGGCCUUGUACACACCGCCCGUCACACCACGAAAGUUUAUUGUACCAGAAGAGGUGAAGCUACUUUUGAGGCUACUUCUAAGGUAUGAUCGAUGAUUGGGGUGAAGUCGU
This 1486-nucleotide ribosomal RNA is filed under the name uncultured organism. RNAcentral describes it as "bacterial SSU rRNA". It matches the Rfam family "Bacterial small subunit ribosomal RNA". The record is from RNAcentral.